Poecilia latipinna (sailfin molly) is the source of this 662-nucleotide long non-coding RNA. RefSeq lists it as uncharacterized. The transcript is spliced from 3 exons. NCBI's taxonomy places the organism in Eukaryota, Metazoa, Chordata, Actinopteri, Cyprinodontiformes, Poeciliidae. The record is from RefSeq and is a predicted model, not a curated record.
UUCUGGAAAUGUGUCCAAACUUUCCAUUUUUACAGUUUUUUUCUUAGCCAGCUUGCAGGCAGUGCACAGCAAUGGGUGGAGGAGGGGCAGCACCAUAUUGACUCUCUGCUCUACACAGCUGGAAAAAAAAAGUUACUUCUGCCCUUUCUGUACUAGGAGGAGUUUUAACUACAAAAACAUUUAUAUUAAGUUUUAUGUCUUGGCCAGGUCUUCCUCAUAAAACAGAUCUUUGAUCUCAGUGGGACUAAAAUGGUAAAGGUUAAAGAAAUGAAACAAAAACAUUAAAACAAGACAUUUUGAAACCGUAGCGUACCAUGACCGCUCCUGGUUUCUGUGCACAGUCAGCGUUUUGUCUUCUUCUACUGGGAUAAAUGAUGUUUGUGUUGCUGUCUCAGAUGAGGAGGAAGCUAACUCUGCAGCCAACGGAGGUCACAGACUUCCACGCAGCCCCGUCCCUGAGCGCGCCAAGCAGGCUCGAUGUAAAGUUCGCUCAGAAGUGGUCGAGCUCACCAGAGACAUGGUGGACCGCACCAGCGCCAACUUUCUGCUGUUCCCACCGUGCGUGGAAGUCCAGCGCUGCUCUGGCUGCUGCACCAGCAGGGACAUUCAGUGUGUUUCCAAUUCCACAAGCACCAGAAACCUGACGGUCACGAAGAUCGUGU